RNAcentral lists this long non-coding RNA (1544 nucleotides) under Cyanistes caeruleus (blue tit). RNAcentral's name for it is "lncRNA (ENSCCEG00000005030.1)". Lineage: Eukaryota; Metazoa; Chordata; Aves; Passeriformes; Paridae. The record is from RNAcentral.
GGGGUCAGGAUUGGGGUCAUGGGGUCAGGAUUGGGGUCACGGGGUCAGGAUUGGGGUCAGGAUUGGGGUCAGGGGGUCAGGAUUGGGGUCAGGAUCGGGGUCAGGAUCAGGGUCAGGGGUCAGGGGAUCAAUGGGGUCAGGAUCAGUGAGGUCAGUGGGAUUAUCAAGAUCGAUCAAUGGGAUCAAUGACCAAUGGGAUCAGGGAUCAAUGGGAUCAGGGAUCAAUGGGAUUAUCGGGAUCAAUGGGAUCAGGGAUCAAUGGGAUUAUCGGGAUCCGUGGGAUUAUCGGGAUCCGUGGGGUCAGUGGGAUCCAAGAGGCCUCAGGAAAUGGGGAGCAGCGGGGUGAGGAGGACGAGGAGGAUGAGGAGGAUGGGGAGGAGGAUGAAGGCUCACACGAGGUCCCAGGGGAUUGGGAUGAGUUUUAGGAUGAGGAGGAUGAUGAGGAUGAAGGCACACAUGAGGUCCCAAAGGACGGGGAUGAUGAGGAGGAUGAUGAGGAUGAGGAGGAUGGGGAGGAGGAUGAGGAUGAGGAGGAGGAUGAGGAUGAGGAGGAUGGGGAGGAGGAUGAAGGCUCACAUGAGGUCCCAGGAGAUCCCCGCCUGCUCCAGCUGCUCCAUCAGCUCCGUCAGGCGGCUCCGGAAGAAAACCUGCUGCUCCAUCAGCUCCGUCAGGCGGCUCCGGAAGAAAACCUCGAAGCGCAAAUCGUCCUCGAACACCAGCGAGCGCUGCAGGCCCCGCUCGGCGAUCUGGGAGCGCCCAAAAUCCACCAAAUUCACCCUAAAUCCACCCAAAAUCACCCAAAAUCCACCCAAAAUCCACCAAAAUCUGCCCAAAUCCACCCAAAAUCCACCUAAAUCUGCCCAAAUCCACCCAAAAUCCACCAAAUCCACCCUAAAUCCACCUAAAUACACCCAAAAUCUGCCCGAAUCCACCCAAAAUCCACCUAAAUCUGCCCAAAUCCACCCAAAUCCACCCAAAAUCCACCUAAAUCUGCCCAAAUCCACCCAAAAUCCACCUAAAUCUGCCCAAAUCCACUCAAAAUCCACCCAAAUCCACCCAAAAUCCACCAAAAUCCACCCCAAACCCACCCAAAUCCACCCCAACUUCAUCCAAAAUCCACCCAAAUUCCCAAAAAGUCCCCCAGAAAACACAAAAAAAAAUUCCAACAAAAUCCCCCAAAAAUCCCAAAAUGUAAAAAAAAAUCCACAAAAAAUCCCCCCAAAAAUUCCCAAAAAAUUCCCAAAAAUCCCCCCAAAAAUUCCAAAAAAUCCAAAAAAAUUCCCCAAAAUUCCAAAAAAAUUCCCCCCAAAAAUUCCAAAAAAUUCCCAAAAAAUCCCCAAAAAUCCCAAAAAAAUCCAAAAAAAAUCCCCAAAAUUCAAAAAAAUUCCCCCCAAAAAUUCCCAAAAAAUCCCCCCAAAAAUUCCAAAAAAUCCCCAAAAAUCCCAAAAAAAUUCCCAAAAAAUCCCAAAAAAAUUCCAAAAAAUUCCCCCCAAAAAUUCCCCCAAAAAUUCCCCAAAAUUCCAAAAAAUUCCCCCCAAAAAUUC